CCUACGGGGGGCAGCAGUGGGGAAUAUUGCGCAAUGGGCGAAAGCCUGACGCAGCGACGCCGCGUGAGGGAUGAAGGUCUUCGGAUCGUAAACCUCUGUCAGCAGGGAAGAACGGUCACUGUGCUAAUCAGCAGUGAAUUGACGGUACCUGCAAAGGAAGCACAGGCUAACUCCGUGCCAGCAGCCGCGGUAAUACGGAGGGUGCGAGCGUUAAUCGGAAUUACUGGGCGUAAAGCGCUCGUAAGCGGUAUGUCAAGGCAAGGGUGAAAUCCCCGCGCUCAACGUGGGAACUGCCUUUGAAACUGGCAAACUGGAGUGUGUGAGAGGAUAGUGGAAUUCCAGGUGUAGGAGUGAAAUGCGUAGAUAUCUGGAGGAACAUCAGUGGCGAAGGCGACUAUCUGGCACAUAACUGACGCUGAGGAGCGAAAGCGUGGGUAGCAAACAGGAUUAGAUACCCUAGUAGUC
RNAcentral lists this ribosomal RNA (465 nucleotides) under uncultured bacterium. Its description in RNAcentral is "partial 16S ribosomal RNA". It matches the Rfam family "Bacterial small subunit ribosomal RNA", at positions 338 to 795 of the family's 1533-position model. The record is from RNAcentral.